GAUGAACGCUGGCGGCGUGCCUAAUACAUGCAAGUCGAGCGAACAGACGAGGAGCUUGCUCCUCUGACGUUAGCGGCGGACGGGUGAGUAACACGUGGAUAACCUACCUAUAAGACUGGGAUAACUUCGGGAAACCGGAGCUAAUACCGGAUAAUAUAUUGAACCGCAUGGUUCAAUAGUGAAAGACGGUUUUGCUGUCACUUAUAGAUGGAUCCCGCCGCAUUAGCUAGUUGGUAAGGUAACGGCUUACCAAGGCAACGAUGCGUAGCCGACCUGAGAGGGUGAUCGGCCACACUGGAACUGAGACACGGUCCAGACUCCUACGGGAGGCAGCAGUAGGGAAUCUUCCGCAAUGGGCGAAAGCUUGACGGAGCAACGCCGCGUGAGUGAUGAAGGUCUUCGGAUCGUAAAACUCUGUUAUUAGGGAAGAACAAAUGUGUAAGUAACUAUGCACGUCUUGACGGUACCUAAUCAGAAAGCCACGGCUAACUACGUG
This 496-nucleotide ribosomal RNA is filed under the name uncultured bacterium. RNAcentral's name for it is "partial 16S ribosomal RNA". It matches the Rfam family "Bacterial small subunit ribosomal RNA", at positions 28 to 507 of the family's 1533-position model. The record is from RNAcentral.